This 632-nucleotide long non-coding RNA is filed under the name Homo sapiens (human). RNAcentral describes it as "non-protein coding lnc-GPER1-1:7". Lineage: Eukaryota; Metazoa; Chordata; Mammalia; Primates; Hominidae. The record is from RNAcentral.
GGGGCUGACCACCCAGGGACGGGCAGAGGAGUCUGGAACAGGACGGUUUGUGCGCUGCCUGCGAGCACCGUGCUUCCACGACUAGAUGCCUCUGUGGUGAAAGCCAAAAGGAGUAUUUUACUGCACACAAAUUCUCAGAAAUGAUCAUCUGAAAACUACAGGUUCUCGGCUAAGGCACCCAGGCUCAGACUGCCGACACAUCGUUAAGCAGCUGGGUACCAGCAGCAAUGACCUCAUCCCUCUGACUCCGUGACCUCGGCUGCAGAGGGUCACGGCGAAUUAUAUACACAGUGCCACGCACAUGGGAAGCUCUCAGUGAGAGAGGGUGGGCUGAGAGCCGCUUGGCCUGGGCCCUGCACCUCGUCCCACUCUGCAUGAACUGCCUUUGCGGGUGGCCAGGCCUGGCUAUGACCGCACGGGAGAGCAGGGCGGACCCCGCGAACGGGGACAGCACCUGACGGCGACAUCCACAAACGCCGCCCCGCAGGAGCACGCACUCCCACACAAAGCGCCUGCAGCUGACAGCCGCCGGGAGGGGACAUCUGGACAGCCUCACGCAGCUUUCAGACCUGCAGUCCAUGUUAAAAGGAUCUUGUUUCCAAUUUGCCUUAAUUAAACAAACAUUCCAAACC